Molecule: long non-coding RNA, 3222 nt
Filed under: Rattus norvegicus (Norway rat)
Lineage: Eukaryota; Metazoa; Chordata; Mammalia; Rodentia; Muridae
Description: long non-coding RNA NONRATT006414
Source: RNAcentral
GAAGGGCAGUCCUGCAUCUAAAGCCACUACAAUGAGCGAAAAUGAUUUCAAGCACACAAAAUCCUUUAUAAUUUAAAAGAAUUCCACUUCUGAGAUGCACCAAAACCACAGUUGUCACACAAGUUAUUAAACUAUUGUAAACCUCUGCUUUGUCUUACAUUUGCAAAGAGACGGACGAAGAAACGAGAGUGGGAACUCAUCAUAACUGUUAUGACCUCUAACUCACAAGAAAUAUUUUAAGCAAAGUGUUCUUGCCAUCACUAAAAUACAAUUUGGGAUCUUAUGUCUGACCUAAAGUGAAAUGUCUGAGGUUUUGAAAUGCAAAUGAAUGUUAAUUUUGGAGUUGACUAGAUCAUACUGACUGUAAAGCUAACCCAAGAGGCAGGAAUAUACUGUAUGUGCUCUGGUGAGAAUGGCUUACAUGUUCAGGAAAUACUCUAACGAAUGGAAACCCUGUUCGCAAAAUUCCUACCAGAAUCCUCUUCUUACCUCUAAAUAAUCCGGGUUCCUUUGCCCUGUGUCUCUGUAUCCCGUAGGGGAAUCCCAGGGCUGGGCCUUCCGUCUAAGGGUUUGCACUUUAUAUUUUCUUUCACUUCUCAGAACCAAAAGCAACAUGAAGGGAGCUGCUGCCGCCAAUUCCUGAGACUCUUGGAGGGGCUCAGUGACCUGGACAUCAGAAUGCACUACUAGAACCUACACAGCUCCAGAUCCUUUCUGUGCUUAAGUGGUGACCUUUUAUCUGUCUCUAAAAGCAAUUCUGAACUGGGCUAGCUCCUCCCUGGUGAAGAUACAGGGUUCCCAGCCUGCUUAGGAUGAACAGGAGCACAGGGGAGAGAAACAUUUGCCCCAUGAGUAAGAGGUGGAUGAACAAGCUCACUUUGACUCUUGAUCCAGUCAAGGCACAGGAGAAACCGUGGCUGAAAUGAGACAGGGGUCUAAUGUCUUCUGAACUGGUUAUCCACAGAGGCCACCAACCAGCUAGUGUCAGAUUAGAUUCCCAGGGCUCAACAGAAAACCGGUCCUGCUGGGGGCUGGUUUACCCCUAUUUAAAAUAAAAAAAAUGCAACUGAGGAUGUCUAGCUCUGGGUAAAUAUGCACGAAAGGUCACUUACUUCCUUUACCGGCUUUGAACAUGGUCACGUUGGCUUUCUACCCAAAGGGCAAAGCAAAGUCUCAGGAUUCUCAUCAAAAGCAAACGGGGUGAGUGGCCAGUGAGUACCUGGUAGUGAUCUGGUCACCGGGGUGAUGCCUACUGCCAUACUGCUCCCCUUUAACUUUGUGGCCUUGAAUCUUUCCUAAUCAGUAGACACCUUCCCAAAGGGCUGACUUCUGUAAAGUGGCUCGGCCCUCAAGGUCAGAUCCACACUUAACUGAGCCAGCAAUCUACAAAGAACACCACAGUACAUAAUUCAGCCCACAGGGUUCUUGUUACAACCACUCAUCUCUGUCACAACGUACAGUACAAGUGUGUCAGCGGUAUAGGAUUUGCCCACAGAUCCAAGCUCCUCUCUCCUGGUAGCAAAUGACAAAGAAACACUGUGGUGUACAAGAAAUCAGGGUAAAUGUUGCCUGUGCCGUGACUAAGAGAUUUGCUUUGGUAGGAGGAGGCUGUCCUGCAGUGCCAAGCAGACGUACAACUCUCAAGGAUGUCUCUUCAGGCCCACAUAGCAUCACAAGACCAACUGCGUCAAUUUAAAUAACACAAAUCCACAUUGCGAGAGGACAAUUACGUAGUGCCUUACCUUCACUAAUAGAAGAAAAGCUUCCUUUUAAGACACUGAAGCCUAAAGGUUCAUUUUAAGCAGUGUAGACACCUAACAAAGUCUGUGCCAAACACCUAUUAUACAUCCUUAACUACUGUAUACAGCUAAGCACAAGUCGCUGUGUAGAGAAUGCGCUCUUCUGCAUAAAGGACCUGACUGUGCACACUAAUCUCCUAGUUAUUAAGUCUAUCGGGAGUCACUGCCAUGAAGACUUGUCCCUUUGCUGUUUUCUGAGACUUGAACUCUAACAUUGUGUCAAAAUUGAAUUGUAGUUUCUAGAACAUGUUGAUUUUAUUUUUCCACAGUGAAAGUUUGAUAAGGGUCUAGAAAUUAUGAGAGCAAGUUUUAGUAUCGUCGCUGUUGUAACUAGAUUCAACUUAUUUUUAGUCAGGGUAGGGGUUAACAGCUAAGUCUGGAUGUUUAUUUUUCAAUACAACUUUACAAAGAACUUCCUUCAUUCUACAACUCACUUUGUUUGAUUAAAGUUCAUGCUACAAAAAUAGCUAUGCACAGCUCAAGGUUUUAGUCCCCUUCAACAGAGGGGGGAAGUCACUCACCUAUUGUUCAGUAAAACCCAGGAAACUCCUCCCUCCCUCACACCUGCACUUGUGAGGCAGCUCCAGCAGUUUCAAAUCAAGGUCUCUCUGGUCUCUCAGCUUGGACACCUGCCAACUUGUGUUUUGUGUGUGUCAGAGGUUGAGGAUAAGGGAGUGCAGGCCACUGUGAAGAGGAGCCUGUCGUUCUACAGUGGGUGACUGCUCGGCUUGGGUUUGCAGUGCAGUUACGGAGGAGCUGGGGUCUUUAUGAAUACAGCCACCUGAUCCACAGCUCACACAUUUUCUUCAUUUUAAAUUUUCCAGUUCUCUACAUUCUCUUCAUCCUCAGUAACCCUGGCUCACCCACCCACCUACCCCGGCCCCAAACUUAUCUUUGUAAAACUUUAACAUUUAAAAACAAAAGGAUACAACAACUUUAUACACAACCAAUCCAGAACCUGCUCUCUUUUGUUGCCUUAUUAUUCACCAAACUGAACUGUUUGUUUUUACAAUUUAGUCUGCCCUUUCCGAUACAUUUGUAUUACAUUCCUUAGAUCGUUAGUCCUCACCACAAGCUAUGGAAAUCCUAUUUACUCCUGACAAGUCAAAUUCAGCUCUCGUGGGACAGCGUUCUCCCAUUUCCUAGCAGUGAGUUUUGUCUCUCAAGUCCAAUGGUAUUUGGUUCUUUUGUGAUAUUUAUUGAUUUCUGUGUUACAGUACAGGGAGGUAUGUAUGUGUGACAUCUCCACCAACCUGAAACCCUGAAAAAGACCCAUGUUGUACAGGUCUUCAUAAACCCUAAGGUGUUUAAUGGCAUCUGACAUGAAAAAAGUUUCUAAAAACGCUGAAUACCUGUGAAGCAUAAAGAAUGAUUAAAUGUAAGCAUCUACUUAGAAUAUUAAUAAAACAUUGUAUUCUGAUAC